RNAcentral lists this ribosomal RNA (207 nucleotides) under uncultured bacterium. Its description in RNAcentral is "partial 16S ribosomal RNA". It matches the Rfam family "Bacterial small subunit ribosomal RNA", at positions 568 to 774 of the family's 1533-position model. The record is from RNAcentral.
CAUGCAGGCGGCCUUGUUAGUCAGACGUGAAAGCCCCGGGCUCAACCUGGGACUUGCGUUUGAUACUGCAGGGCUUGAGACCGAGAGAGGGUGGUGGAAUUCCCAGUGUAGAGGUGAAAUUCAUAGAUAUUGGGAGGAACACCAGUGGCGAAGGCGGCCACCUGGCUCGGCUCUGACGCUGAGAUGCGAAAGCGUGGGGAGCAAACA